CUGCAAUCCUAGCAGUGUGACGAGAUCAUGGAUGCAGAUCAAGAAUAACUGAAAACAUCAUCUAGUGAUUUCUGACGCUGAGGAACGAGAUGAAGACGUCAGUUCUCACUCACCAGUAAUCGGGAGAACGAACGGCAGGAUGACUGUCGGAAUUGCCAGUCUGCGUGGGCUAGCAGUUAACCUAGCCUGCCCCACUUCAGCAUCCUUGUCAGACCGUCCUCGGUGCUUCCUCCUCGGGCCCAGCUCCAGGCAGGGCCGUGAUCCCUGGGCCCACAGGACGCAGCAGACCAACCUCUUCCAGCCGAUCCAGCGCCAGCUCUCCCGGCCAUCAAACGAAGACACAAACUUAAACGCAGAUGUGGACAAGACACUGCAUGGACAGUACUGGAUUUUCCUGGUUC
Lampris incognitus (smalleye Pacific opah) is the source of this 401-nucleotide long non-coding RNA. RefSeq lists it as uncharacterized. The transcript is spliced from 4 exons. NCBI's taxonomy places the organism in Eukaryota, Metazoa, Chordata, Actinopteri, Lampriformes, Lampridae. The record is from RefSeq and is a predicted model, not a curated record.